UACGAGGGGGGCAAGCGUUGUUCGGAAUUAUUGGGCGUAAAGGGUGCGUAGGCGGUUUGGUAAGUCUUAUGUGAAAUCUACAGGCUCAACUUGUAGUCUGCAUGAGAAACUGCCGGGCUUGAGUAUGGGAGAGGUGAGUGGAAUUCCUGGUGUAGCGGUGAAAUGCGUAGAUAUCAGGAGGAACACCUGUGGCGAAGGCGGUUCUCUGGGACGGUACUGACGCUGAGACGCGAAAGCGUGGGGAGCGAACAGG
RNAcentral lists this ribosomal RNA (253 nucleotides) under uncultured bacterium. RNAcentral describes it as "partial 16S ribosomal RNA". It matches the Rfam family "Bacterial small subunit ribosomal RNA", at positions 524 to 776 of the family's 1533-position model. The record is from RNAcentral.